CCAGGCUGGAGUGCAGUGGCAUGAUCUCAGCUCACUGCAACAUCUGCCUCCCAGGUUCAAGGGGUUCUCCUGCCUCAGCCUCCUGAGUUGCUGGGACUUCAGCCUCCUGAGUUGCUGGGACUACAUGUGCACACCACCAUGCCCGCUUUCCAGCCAUUGUUUCAUCCCUCAGCGAUACCACCUGCUUCCGCGUGGAACCCAAACCCCCAGGAAACUAAAUCUGCUCAGGUCACCCACCUAGGAAUAAAUAAAAACAGGUUUCAGGCCCUUUGUCCUUUGUAAAUUCCGCCUUUUUUUUUUUUUUAAGGCCUGUGUUCUUUAUCACGGACACUGUUCACAUAGUGGUAAUCCUUGCCUGACUCAGAUCUACUUGUUCCUGCGUUUCAUUCCUCCGCUGCUCAAUUACUUGUUCAAAACGCAAAGGACAACUGGUAGUGAAGACCCUCCACCAGCAACACUACCAUGUGCCAGGCACCGUGCUGGGGACCGGGGAUACAAAGAUGAGUAGUGUACCGUCCUUGCCCCCAGGACAGUUCCCCGUGUCCGCAGGGCCGGCCUGGAGGGCCACAGCCAACUGUGGGCAACAGGAUCACCGUGCCCUUCGCGGCAAGUGAGUGCAGUAGUAGGGGACGGUUACUGCCAAGCCAAAGGUUUUCUCCAGGUAAAACUGGAUGACAGAGAGACAGAGACUGAAGCAACGCCGGCGCCGG
Molecule: long non-coding RNA, 710 nt
Filed under: Homo sapiens (human)
Lineage: Eukaryota; Metazoa; Chordata; Mammalia; Primates; Hominidae
Description: HSALNT0351782
Source: RNAcentral